GUGGUGAGUAACAAAAACUAAUAAAUAUUGUACUGUCUCCAGAAGAAAAUUAAAUAUUUGCUUUGAAGGCAUAGAGAGAAAUGUUUACAAUUACGUGGAUAUUGUAGGCUUUCAUCUGGUGCCCUCUAAUUCUCUAAGCAGUCCUCUCACUUUCAUAGGACUGCUCUGCAUGUGGCCUGUGGCAAGGGCCAUCCGAGAGUGGUGAGACUGCUAACACGUAGACAUUGCCUAUUGAACCUCUGUGACAUUGACAACAAAACGGCUCUCAUUCACGCCAUACAAUAUGACCAAGAGGAAUGUGCAACCAUUCUUCUAGACCAUGGUGCCGAUCCAAAUGUAAUGGACAUCCACGGCAACACUCCUCUUCACUAUGCUGUCCUUGGCCACAAUACAGCAAUAGUGGAAAAGCUACUUUCCUGUAUGGCAAAUAUGGAAGCAAGAAAUAAGGAUGACUUCACACCAUUUUCACUUGCUAAAUAUGAAAACCAAGAGAAAAUGGUGGAAUUUUUAGUAACUAGAGCUUCAAAAAUCAAUCACAUGGAAAGGUAC
Molecule: long non-coding RNA, 549 nt
Organism: Myotis daubentonii (Daubenton's bat)
Lineage: Eukaryota; Metazoa; Chordata; Mammalia; Chiroptera; Vespertilionidae
Exons: 3
Source: RefSeq, a predicted model, not a curated record